Molecule: ribosomal RNA, 162 nt
Filed under: uncultured bacterium
Lineage: Bacteria
Description: partial 16S ribosomal RNA
Rfam family: Bacterial small subunit ribosomal RNA
Source: RNAcentral
UAGGGAAUCUUCCACAAUGGACGAAAGUCUGAUGGAGCAACGCCGCGUGAGUGAAGAAGGUUUUCGGAUCGUAAAGCUCUGUUGUUGUUGAAGAAGGAUAGAGGUAGUAACUGGCCUUUAUUUGACGGUAAUCAACCAGAAAGUCACGGCUAACUACGUGCC